GCUUACGGCCAUACCACCCUGAAUGCGCCUGAUCUCGUCUGAUCUCGGAAGCUACGCAGGGUCAGGCCUGGUUAGCGCUUGGAUGGGUGACCACCUGGGAAUACCAGGUGCUGUAAGCU
Molecule: non-coding RNA, 119 nt
Organism: Larimichthys crocea (large yellow croaker)
Lineage: Eukaryota; Metazoa; Chordata; Actinopteri; Sciaenidae
Source: Rfam